GGAAGCGUGCCCGAGCUUUAAGGACUACUUUGAUAGAGUAUAUAACAGGGGUUAAAUCCCCCUCACUUCCC
This 71-nucleotide transfer RNA is filed under the name Lucasium stenodactylus (pale-snouted ground gecko). RNAcentral's name for it is "tRNA-Ile". It matches the Rfam family "tRNA". Rfam says of the family: Transfer RNA (tRNA) molecules are approximately 80 nucleotides in length. Their secondary structure includes four short double-helical elements and three loops (D, anti-codon, and T loops). Further hydrogen bonds mediate the characteristic L-shaped molecular structure. tRNAs have two regions of fundamental functional importance: the anti-codon, which is responsible for specific mRNA codon recognition, and the 3' end, to which the tRNAs corresponding amino acid is attached (by aminoacyl-tRNA synthetases). tRNAs cope with the degeneracy of the genetic code in two manners: having more than one tRNA (with a specific anti-codon) for a particular amino acid; and 'wobble' base-pairing, i.e. permitting non-standard base-pairing at the 3rd anti-codon position. The record is from RNAcentral. Lineage: Eukaryota; Metazoa; Chordata; Lepidosauria; Squamata; Diplodactylidae.